This 450-nucleotide ribosomal RNA is filed under the name uncultured bacterium. RNAcentral describes it as "partial 16S ribosomal RNA". It matches the Rfam family "Bacterial small subunit ribosomal RNA", at positions 354 to 796 of the family's 1533-position model. The record is from RNAcentral.
GUGGGGAAUAUUGGACAAUGGGCGAAAGCCUGAUCCAGCCAUGCCGCGUGUGUGAAGAAGGUCUUCGGAUUGUAAAGCACUUUAAGUUGGGAGGAAGGGCAGUAAGUUAAUACCUUGCUGUUUUGACGUUACCAACAGAAUAAGCACCGGCUAACUUCGUGCCAGCAGCCGCGGUAAUACGAAGGGUGCAAGCGUUAAUCGGAAUUACUGGGCGUAAAGCGCGCGUAGGUGGUUCAGCAAGUUGAAGGUGAAAGCCCCGGGCUCAACCUGGGAACUGCCUCCAAAACUGCAUGACUAGAGUACGGUGGAGGGUAGGGUGAUUUGCUGGGUAGCGGUGGAGGGGGGGGGGGGGGGGAGGAACACCAGUGGCGAAGGCGACUACCUGGACUGAUACUGACACUGAGGUGCGAAAGCGUGGGGAGCAAACAGGAUUAGAAACCCCGGUAGUCC